Molecule: ribosomal RNA, 1656 nt
Filed under: Peptoniphilus harei
Lineage: Bacteria; Bacillati; Bacillota; Tissierellia; Tissierellales; Peptoniphilaceae
Description: partial 23S ribosomal RNA
Rfam family: Bacterial large subunit ribosomal RNA
Source: RNAcentral
GGUUAAGUUAGUAAGGGCGCACGGUGGAUGCCUUGGCACUAGGAGCCGAAGAAGGACGUGACAAACGACGAAAUGCCUUGGGGAGCUGUAAGUAAGCGUAGAUCCAGGGAUGUCCGAAUGGGGGAACCCAAUAGGUAGAUACCUAUUACCCGUAUCUGUUAAGGAUAUGAGGAGGAAGACGCAGUGAACUGAAACAUCUAAGUAGCUGCAGGAAGAGAAAGCAAAAGCGAUUGCCUGAGUAGCGGCGAGCGAAAGGGCAAGAGGGCAAACCGAGAAGUUUACUUCUCGGGGUUGUAGGACUGCGAUGUGGAUUUAAAGAUUAUAGAAGAAGACCUUGGGAAAGGUUGCCAGAGAGAGUAAGAGCCUCGUAUUUUAAAUAAUCUUUAUACCUAGCAGGAUCCUGAGUACGGCGGGACACGAGGAAUCCCGUCGGAAUCUGGGAGGACCAUCUCCCAACCCUAAAUACUCCCUAGUGACCGAUAGUGAACCAGUACCGUGAGGGAAAGGUGAAAAGCACCCCGGUUAUGAUGCGAGGUUAAGUUGAAGAGACGGAGCCGUAGGGAAACCGAGUCUGAAGAGGGCGGUAUAGUAUCAUGAUGUAGACCCGAAACCAUGUGACCUACCCAUGAGCAGGUUGAAGGUGAGGUAAAACUCACUGGAGGACCGCACCAGGGCACGUUGAAAAGUGCUUGGAUGACUUGUGGGUAGCGGAGAAAUUCCAAACGAACUUGGAGAUAGCUGGUUCUCUCCGAAAUAGCUUUAGGGCUAGCGUCGACAGAAAGAUUCUUGGAGGUAGAGCACUGUUUGGGUGAGGGGUCCAUCCCGGAUUACCAAUCUCAGAUAAACUCCGAAUGCCAAUGAAUUAUGGUCGGCAGUCAGACUGCGAGUGCUAAGAUCCGUAGUCGAAAGGGAAACAGCCCAGACCACCAGCUAAGGUCCCAAAAUAAUUGUUAAGUGGAAAAGGAUGUGGGGUUGCACAGACAACUAGGAUGUUAGCUUAGAAGCAGCUAUUCAUUCAAAGAGUGCGUAAUAGCUCACUAGUCGAGUGACCCUGCGCCGAAAAUGUACCGGGGCUAAAACAAUUUACCGAAGCUGUGGAUCCUUUAGGGGAUGGUAGGAGAGCGUUCUAUGUGUGGUGAAGGUGUACCGUGAGGAGCGCUGGAACGCAUAGAAGUGAGAAUGCCGGUAUGAGUAGCGCAAGACAGGUGAGAAUCCUGUCCACCGUAAGACUAAGGUUUCCAGGGGAAGGCUCGUCCGCCCUGGGUUAGUCGGGACCUAAGGAGAGACCGAAAGGUGUAUCCGAUGGCUAAGCAGUGAGGUGUGAUAGGAGUCAAAUGCUUCUAUCUGUAACAUUGAGCUGUGAUGGGGAGCGAAGUUUAGUAGCGAAGUGAGUGACGUCACACUGCCAAGAAAAGCUUCUAGCGUUAAUUUAUACUCUACCCGUACCGCAAACCGACACAGGUAGUCGAGGCGAGUAGCCUCAGGUGAUCGAGAGAACUCUCGUUAAGGAACUCGGCAAAAUGACCCCGUAACUUCGGGAGAAGGGGUGCUGGCUUAAAGUCAGCCGCAGUGAAUAGGCCCAAGCAACUGUUUAUCAAAAACACAGCUCUCUGCUAAAUCGUAAGAUGAUGUAUAGGGGGUGACGCCUGCCCGGUG